RNAcentral lists this unclassified non-coding RNA (303 nucleotides) under Hevea brasiliensis (rubber tree). The record is from RNAcentral. Lineage: Eukaryota; Viridiplantae; Streptophyta; Magnoliopsida; Malpighiales; Euphorbiaceae.
CUGAUACAAAUUGUUAGAAGUUUAAUAAAUUAUAAAAUUUACCAUUGAAACUCAACAUACUUUGUAGGGAAUGUCGACACCAUAUUUUGGCCGGUCCCCGAAGCCAAUAAACUUUGAAACCGAUCUCUCCUUGCCAGACAAGCACAUUUCCGAUCUCCCUUCAAAAAGAAUCGAAUCCAUACUAAGUCCCCAUAUCAGUUAAAGCCUCACCGGUCUCUCAAAUCAAUUAUCGAGUUCUUUGGCCAAGACAAUUACAUUCCCGAUCUUUCUUGUCAAACGAAAUUGAACCAAUACUAGACCUUC